Molecule: transfer RNA, 85 nt
Filed under: Chloroflexota bacterium
Lineage: Bacteria; Bacillati; Chloroflexota
Description: tRNA-Leu
Rfam family: tRNA
About the family: Transfer RNA (tRNA) molecules are approximately 80 nucleotides in length.
Source: RNAcentral
GCGACUAUGGUGGAAUUGGUAUACACAAGGGAUUUAAAAUCCCUCGCCUUCGGGAUUGAGAGUUCAAGUCUCUCUAGUCGCACCA